CGGAACUACCAAACAAACAGGCCCACGACAUUUUCCUGACGUGUUUCAAAGACUUAUUUCGUCUUUUCAGCUGAAGUAACACAUCAUCAUUCUUUUACCUGGACUGAUGGUGACCCUGAUGAACUUCUGAAUCAUCCAACACCUUCAUUCUUAUGCACUUUUUAAAGGUUUGUCACGACAUGGGCUUCUCAAAACAAGUCUGCGAUCCAAGUGAACUGAAAACCAGCAAGACCAGUCCCACGUGAAGACGUGGCCGUAUACAGCUGGAGGACAGAACAUCAGCGCCUGCAGUCGCCACAGGUAUCAACACAACCAGAUGCACAUGUGUGACGCAUGCAGGGAUUUCAUGUCACACACAGUGCUGUACUGAUGCUUUUAUUACUACAGUCAUGACUGUGAGGAGGUUGUGCUAAAUAAAA
Danio aesculapii is the source of this 419-nucleotide long non-coding RNA. RefSeq lists it as uncharacterized. The transcript is spliced from 4 exons. NCBI's taxonomy places the organism in Eukaryota, Metazoa, Chordata, Actinopteri, Cypriniformes, Danionidae. The record is from RefSeq and is a predicted model, not a curated record.